UACGGAGGAUGCGAGCGUUAUCCGGAUUUAUUGGGUUUAAAGGGUGCGUAGGCGGUCUGAUAAGUCAGUGGUGAAAGUUUUCAGCUUAACUGGAAAAAUGCCGUUGAUACUGUCAGGCUAGAAUAUGGUUGCUGUGAGUGGAAUGUGUGGUGUAGCGGUGAAAUGCUUAGAUAUCACACAGAAUAUCGAUUGCGAAGGCAGCUCACAAAGCCAUUAUUGACGCUGAGGCACGAAAGUGUGGGGAUCAAACAGG
This 253-nucleotide ribosomal RNA is filed under the name uncultured bacterium. Its description in RNAcentral is "partial 16S ribosomal RNA". It matches the Rfam family "Bacterial small subunit ribosomal RNA", at positions 524 to 776 of the family's 1533-position model. The record is from RNAcentral.